Hippocampus comes (tiger tail seahorse) is the source of this 218-nucleotide long non-coding RNA. RefSeq lists it as uncharacterized. The record is from RefSeq and is a predicted model, not a curated record. Lineage: Eukaryota; Metazoa; Chordata; Actinopteri; Syngnathiformes; Syngnathidae. The transcript is spliced from 2 exons.
CACGCAAGUUAGGGCCUCGAUUCAUCGGGCUGUUUGAGGUGGAGGCGAUUGUGAACCCGGUUGAUGUCAAACUCCGCCUCCCACCUACUCUCAAGGUCCAUCCAUGUUAACAUUAGCCAACCACGCUGUAUGUGGCCGGUCCUUAUAAGAAGGGAAGCACAAAAGAUUUGGGAGGUGGUGACUUUGACAACAGCACUUGACAAGAAUAAAGUCUUUAU